Molecule: ribosomal RNA, 253 nt
Filed under: uncultured prokaryote
Description: partial 16S ribosomal RNA
Rfam family: Bacterial small subunit ribosomal RNA
Source: RNAcentral
GACGUAGGGGGCCAGCGUUGCUCGGAAUUACUGGGCGUAAAGGGUUCGUAGGCGGUGCGGCAAGUUGGGAGUGAAAUCUCUGGGCUUAACUCAGAGGCUGUUUCCAAAACUGCCGCGCUUGAGUGCGGGAGAGGCGAGUGGAAUUGCAGGUGUAGCGGUGAAAUGCGUAGAUAUCUGCAGGAACACCCGUGGCGAAAGCGGCUCGCUGGACCGCAACUGACGCUGAGGAACGAAAGCUAGGGGAGCAAACAGG